CGGCAACGGAUAUCUCGGCUCUC
RNAcentral lists this non-coding RNA (23 nucleotides) under Arabidopsis thaliana (thale cress). Lineage: Eukaryota; Viridiplantae; Streptophyta; Magnoliopsida; Brassicales; Brassicaceae. The record is from RNAcentral.